UUGGACGGCCAUAGUAAUUUGGUUACACCUGUUCCCAUUCCGAACACAGAAGUUAAGCUUAUUAUGUUUGUGCCUGUACUGUCUAAUGAUGGGAACGUGCAAAGCUGUCCUUU
RNAcentral lists this ribosomal RNA (113 nucleotides) under archaeon. The record is from RNAcentral.